This 72-nucleotide transfer RNA is filed under the name Deltaproteobacteria bacterium. Its description in RNAcentral is "tRNA-Val". It matches the Rfam family "tRNA". From Rfam's summary of the family: Transfer RNA (tRNA) molecules are approximately 80 nucleotides in length. Their secondary structure includes four short double-helical elements and three loops (D, anti-codon, and T loops). Lineage: Bacteria; Pseudomonadati; Myxococcota; Myxococcia. The record is from RNAcentral.
GGGCGCGUAGCUCAGUGGUAGAGCACCUCGUUUACACCGAGGGGGUCGUGGGUUCGAUACCUACCGCGCCCA